UUGAACGCUGGCGGCAUGCUUUACACAUGCAAGUCGAACGGCAGCGCGGGCUUCGGCCUGGCGGCGAGUGGCGAACGGGUGAGUAAUGCAUCGGAACGUGCCCAGUAGUGGGGGAUAGCCCGGCUAAAGCCGGAUUAAUACCGCAUACGACCUGAGGGUGAAAGCGGGGGACCGAAAGGCCUCGCGCUAUUGGAGCGGCCGAUGUCGGAUUAGCUAGUUGGUGGGGUAAAGGCUUACCAAGGCGACGAUCCGUAGCUGGUCUGAGAGGACGACCAGCCACACUGGGACUGAGACACGGCCCAGACUCCUACGGGAGGCAGCAGUGGGGAAUUUUGGACAAUGGGGGCAACCCUGAUCCAGCCAUGCCGCGUGCGGGAAGAAGGCCUUCGGGUUGUAAACCGCUUUUGUUCGGGAAGAAAUCCUCUGGGCUAAUACCCCGGGGGGAUGACGGUACCGGAAGAAUAAGCACCGGCUAACUACGUG
This 483-nucleotide ribosomal RNA is filed under the name uncultured bacterium. Its description in RNAcentral is "partial 16S ribosomal RNA". It matches the Rfam family "Bacterial small subunit ribosomal RNA", at positions 29 to 507 of the family's 1533-position model. The record is from RNAcentral.